RNAcentral lists this long non-coding RNA (452 nucleotides) under Mytilus galloprovincialis (Mediterranean mussel). The record is from RNAcentral. Lineage: Eukaryota; Metazoa; Mollusca; Bivalvia; Mytilida; Mytilidae.
AAAUCAAUGAAAUUUUAACACAAGGUUUAUGACCACAAAAGGAAGGUUGGGAUUGAUUUUGGGAGUUUUGGUCCCAAAAUUUUAGGAAUUAGGGGCCAAAAAGGGCCCAAAUAAGCAUUUUCUCGGUUUUCGCACUAUAACUUUAGUUUAAGUGAAUAGAAAUCUAUGAAAUUUUGACACAAAAUUUAUGACCACAAAAGGACGGUUGGGAAUGAUUUUGGGAGUUUUGGUUCCAACAGUUUAGGAAUUAAGGGCCAAAAAAAGGGCCCAAAUAAGCAUUAUUCUUGGUUUUCGCACAAUAACUUUAGUAUAAGUAAAUAGAAAUCAAUGAAAUUUAAACACAAGGUUAAUGACCACAAAAGAAAGGUUGGGAUUGAUUUUUGGAGUUGAGGUCACAACAGUUUAUGAAUUAGGGGCCAAAAAGGGGCCCAAAUAAGCAUUAUUUUUGAAUA